AGACGUCUACAUUAGAUACCCCCGUAGUCCCAGCCGUAAACUAUGCGCGUUAGGUGUAUCGGUGACCACGAGUUACCGAGGUGCCGAAGGGAAACCGUGAAACGUGCCGCCUGGGAAGUACGGUCGCAAGGCUGAAACUUAAAGGAAUUGGCGGGGGAGCACCACAACAGGUGGAGCCUGCGGUUUAAUUGGACUCAACGCCGGGAAGCUCACCGGAUAGGACAGCAGAAUGAUUGCCGGGCUGAAGACUCUGCAUGACUAGCUG
RNAcentral lists this ribosomal RNA (265 nucleotides) under uncultured archaeon. RNAcentral describes it as "partial 16S ribosomal RNA". It matches the Rfam family "Archaeal small subunit ribosomal RNA", at positions 714 to 982 of the family's 1478-position model. The record is from RNAcentral.